GGUGAAGUUGAUUAAUAAUGUAUCCAUAGGUACCUUGCUGGAAUUGCUUUGUGAAACAAAAUCUUACCUCCUCUGUUCCUUCUGUUUCUUCUCCCACUUUAAAAGCUUCAGCUUUUUGCAUAUUGCUGAGUGGAGGCCAAGAAAAAACCUUUGCCUUAGCUACGCAGAAACCAACAAGAAAAAUAACAAGUCCUGGGUCAUUUGCUUGAUGUCUCAGAGCUGCAUCUAGCUGCCUUUUAGAGACUGUUUAUAAAAAAUUCUGAGGCUUUGCCAAGCUAUGAAACUACUUCACUACAGGAAAAGUACAGACAAUAAAAAUUCAGGCAAUGAAAGCAAGAAGGAGAGUGUACAGUGUGUCAGACAUGAAGCCAAGGGUUAACUCAAGUUUGAGUCUGCUACGAGCCCACUGCAUAAUACUGAAAACUCAAAGCAGUACACAUUGAAUGUAAGGGUGCACUUGAAUACAUCUACCACACAGGAGCGAAGGGCAGCAAGGGAAGUGAUUUUUCCUUUUGUUUUCUACCUCAUUACUGGGUAAGGAAGAAAAAAUAUUAUCUCCCCACAUUUCUAACCAUAUUUUAGCCUUCAUUCAAAUUUGUGCCUCCAAAUCACACCAUUUGCAUGGUUCAAAAAUCCUCAAAGAAAAUCCUUAAUACAGAAUGACUAUUGAUUAGUGGCACUUCAAGGUACCUGGCAGAAGAAAACACAAAUCCUUUUUGGUUUAACUUAAGAAUCAUCACUAAAAAUAAUUUCUAUGAACAUAUAAAUUAUAGUACAAAAUUAUAAGCUAUACAAAUAAUGCACUGUAAAAUUUAAAGAAACGACAAAAAAUUGGACAUAUAAGGCUUUUAGAUAUUAAAUUGAUCUGAAAUUGAAUAUAUAAUAAAUACAUUAACAGGCCAGGUGUGGUGGUUCAUACCUGUAAUCCCAGCACUUUGGGAAACUGAGUCAGGUGGAUCACUGGAGGUCAGGAAUUCGAGACCAGCCUGGCCAACAUAGUGAAACCCCAUCUCUACUAAAAAUACAAAAAAUCAGCUGAGCAUGGUGCUGCGUGCCUGUAAUUCCAGGCUUAGGCAUGAGAAUCACUUGAACCCAGGAGGCAGAGGUUGCAGUGAGCCCAUGCCACUGCAUUCCAGCCUGGGUGAAAAUAAAUAAAGAAGUAAAUAAAAAUAAACAUAAUUAUUGUAUACAUAUUAAUUAACAUGUUUAAAUAAAUGAGCAGACUUGAAAAUAUAAUCAAGGAAUGAAAUAUUUUUAAAUAGCC
RNAcentral lists this long non-coding RNA (1264 nucleotides) under Papio anubis (olive baboon). RNAcentral's name for it is "lncRNA (ENSPANG00000045094.1)". The record is from RNAcentral. Lineage: Eukaryota; Metazoa; Chordata; Mammalia; Primates; Cercopithecidae.